Molecule: ribosomal RNA, 2861 nt
Filed under: Escherichia coli TOP498
Lineage: Bacteria; Pseudomonadati; Pseudomonadota; Gammaproteobacteria; Enterobacterales; Enterobacteriaceae
Description: bacterial LSU rRNA
Rfam family: Bacterial large subunit ribosomal RNA
Source: RNAcentral
UUAAGCGACUAAGCGUACACGGUGGAUGCCCUGGCAGUCAGAGGCGAUGAAGGACGUGCUAAUCUGCGAUAAGCGUCGGUGAGGUGAUAUGAACCGUUAUAACCGGCGAUUUCCGAAUGGGGAAACCCAGUGUGUUUCGACACACUAUCAUUAACUGAAUCCAUAGGUUAAUGAGGCGAACCGGGGGAACUGAAACAUCUAAGUACCCCGAGGAAAAGAAAUCAACCGAGAUUCCCCCAGUAGCGGCGAGCGAACGGGGAGGAGCCCAGAGCCUGAAUCAGUGUGUGUGUUAGUGGAAGCGUCUGGAAAGGCGUGCGAUACAGGGUGACAGCCCCGUACACAAAAAUGCACAUAUUGUGAGCUCGAUGAGUAGGGCGGGACACGUGGUAUCCUGUCUGAAUAUGGGGGGACCAUCCUCCAAGGCUAAAUACUCCUGACUGACCGAUAGUGAACCAGUACCGUGAGGGAAAGGCGAAAAGAACCCCGGCGAGGGGAGUGAAAAAGAACCUGAAACCGUGUACGUACAAGCAGUGGGAGCCGUGUACGUACAAGCAGUGGGAGCCUCUUAAUGGGGUGACUGCGUACCUUUUGUAUAAUGGGUCAGCGACUUAUAUUUAAUGGGUCAGCGACUUAUAUUCUGUAGCAAGGUUAACCGAAUAGGGGAGCCGAAGGGAAACCGAGUCUUAACUGGGAAACCGAGUCUUAACUGGGCGUUAAGUUGCAGGGUAUAGACCCGAAACCCGGUGAUCUAGCCAUGGGCAGGUUGAAGGUUGGGUAACACUAACUGGAGGACCGAACCGACUAAUGUUGAAAAAUUAGCGGAUGACUUGUGGCUGGGGGUGAAAGGCCAAUCAAACCGGGAGAUAGCUGGUUCUCCCCGAAAGCUAUUUAGGUAGCGCCUCGUGAAUUCAUCUCCGGGGGUAGAGCACUGUUUCGGCAAGGGGGUCAUCCCGACUUACCAACCCGAUGCAAACUGCGAAUACCGGAGAAUGUUAUCACGGGAGACACACGGCGGGUGCUAACGUCCGUCGUGAAGAGGGAAACAACCCAGACCGCCAGCUAAGGUCCCAAAGUCAUGGUUAAGUGGGAAACGAUGUGGGAAGGCCCAGACAGCCAGGAUGUUGGCUUAGAAGCAGCCAUCAUUUAAAGAAAGCGUAAUAGCUCACUGGUCGAGUCGGCCUGCGCGGAAGAUGUAACGGGGCUAAACCAUGCACCGAAGCUGCGGCAGCGACACUAUGUGUUGUUGGGUAGGGGAGCGUUCUGUAAGCCUGUGAAGGUGGCCUGUGAGGGUUGCUGGAGGUAUCAGAAGUGCGAAUGCUGACAUAAGUAACGAUAAAGCGGGUGAAAAGCCCGCUCGCCGGAAGACCAAGGGUUCCUGUCCAACGUUAAUCGGGGCAGGGUGAGUCGACCCCUAAGGCGAGGCCGAAAGGCGUAGUCGAUGGGAAACAGGUUAAUAUUCCUGUACUUGGUGUUACUGCGAAGGGGGGACGGAGAAGGCUAUGUUGGCCGGGCGACGGUUGUCCCGGUUUAAGCGUGUAGGCUGGUUUUCCAGGCAAAUCCGGAAAACCAAGGCUGAGGCGUGAUGACGAGGCACUACGGUGCUGAAGCGACAAAUGCCCUGCUUCCAGGAAAAGCCUCUAAGCAUCAGGUAACAUCAAAUCGUACCCCAAACCGACACAGGUGGUCAGGUAGAGAAUACCAAGGCGCUUGAGAGAACUCGGGUGAAGGAACUAGGCAAAAUGGUGCCGUAACUUCGGGAGAAGGCACGCUGAUAUGUAGGUGAAGCGACUUGCUCGUGGAGCUGAAAUCAGUCGAAGAUACCAGCUGGCUGCAACUGUUUAUUAAAAACACAGCACUGUGCAAACACGAAAGUGGACGUAUACGGUGUGACGCCUGCCCGGUGCCGGAAGGUUAAUUGAUGGGGUUAGCGGCAACGCGAAGCUCUUGAUCGAAGCCCCGGUAAACGGCGGCCGUAACUAUAACGGUCCUAAGGUAGCGAAAUUCCUUGUCGGGUAAGUUCCGACCUGCACGAAUGGCGUAAUGAUGGCCAGGCUGUCUCCACCCGAGACUCAGUGAAAUUGAACUCGCUGUGAAGAUGCAGUGUACCCGCGGCAAGACGGAAAGACCCCGUGAACCUUUACUAUAGCUUGACACUGAACAUUGAGCCUUGAUGUGUAGGAUAGGUGGGAGGCUUUGAAGUGUGGACGCCAGUCUGCAUGGAGCCGACCUUGAAAUACCACCCUUUAAUGUUUGAUGUUCUAACGUUGGCCCGUAAUCCGGGUUGCGGACAGUGUCUGGUGGGUAGUUUGACUGGGGCGGUCUCCUCCUAAAGAGUAACGGAGGAGCACGAAGGUUGGCUAAUCCUGGUCGGACAUCAGGAGGUUAGUGCAAUGGCAUAAGCCAGCUUGACUGCGAGCGUGACGGCGCGAGCAGGUGCGAAAGCAGGUCAUAGUGAUCCGGUGGUUCUGAAUGGAAGGGCCAUCGCUCAACGGAUAAAAGGUACUCCGGGGAUAACAGGCUGAUACCGCCCAAGAGUUCAUAUCGACGGCGGUGUUUGGCACCUCGAUGUCGGCUCAUCACAUCCUGGGGCUGAAGUAGGUCCCAAGGGUAUGGCUGUUCGCCAUUUAAAGUGGUACGCGAGCUGGGUUUAGAACGUCGUGAGACAGUUCGGUCCCUAUCUGCCGUGGGCGCUGGAGAACUGAGGGGGGCUGCUCCUAGUACGAGAGGACCGGAGUGGACGCAUCACUGGUGUUCGGGUUGUCAUGCCAAUGGCACUGCCCGGUAGCUAAAUGCGGAAGAGAUAAGUGCUGAAAGCAUCUAAGCACGAAACUUGCCCCGAGAUGAGUUCUCCCUGAAGAAAG